GAAAAAUCAAAUUGGAUUGGCUAAACCAGAUUAAAGGUGAAACUAAUUAAGCAGGAGAUUUGAUAUUAUGUACGAUGGUAUUUUAUUUAAAAGAAAAAUUGUCUAUAAUUUUGGACUAAAAGUUACCGAUAAAUAUUUCUCUCAAAAAUAAAAAGUUACCGAUAAAUAUGUAAAAGGUAAAUUGCACGUUUGUUUCUCAAACUAUGAGACUUGUGAUACUUUGAUUUCAAACUUUAAUUUAUUAUGAUUUUUAACGCGAACUUUCAGAAUUAUAUAUUGUCAUUAAGUGCCACAGCCUAAUUUAGGUAACUAAAUAUUAAUAUAUUGCUAAUAUAGAGGUGAUAUAACAGUACUGCAUGCGUUUAAUAAUACCUUAAUAAUUAAGAUGUCAUGUUACUUUAUAUCAAUAAUACGUUAAAAUUUAAUCAAUUAAAUUAGAUUGUAGAAUUUGAAUAUUGUAAUAAUUUUAAAAUUUCACGCUAUAAAUUACAAUAAAUUAAAGUUGGAGGCUAAAAUGUCAUCCGACUCUCAGGUAGCGUUUGGAUCAGGGAUAAGGGGAGGGAUAACCCCUUAUCCCCCCUUUAUCCAAACGCAAAUUUUUUACCCGAGAAUAGUAAUUUUCGGGUAUCCAAAAUAAGCUGGUAUAAUUAUUCCCACCAACACCUCAAUUUUCUAUAUAUAACUAUCUACUAUUUUUCUUAUUCCAUAUUAUCUAUCCAAAAGUUAUUUUUCUUAUCCCCUGAAACAACCCAAUUUUUAUCCAAAUACUAUUUUUUUUAUCUCCAUAUUUGUAUCUAUUCCUGUAAUAACUAGUUUUUUUUUAUAUCCGAACCAAACGAAGUCAUAGUUUGAUUACACUAUGAUA
RNAcentral lists this long non-coding RNA (865 nucleotides) under Ananas comosus (pineapple). RNAcentral's name for it is "long non-coding RNA (ACOM_LNC003110)". The record is from RNAcentral. Lineage: Eukaryota; Viridiplantae; Streptophyta; Magnoliopsida; Poales; Bromeliaceae.